Molecule: ribosomal RNA, 403 nt
Filed under: bacterium
Lineage: Bacteria
Description: partial 16S ribosomal RNA
Rfam family: Bacterial small subunit ribosomal RNA
Source: RNAcentral
UGGGGAAUAUUGCACAAUGGGGGAAACCCUGAUGCAGCGACGCCGCGUGAACGAAGAAGGUAUUCGUAUCGUAAAGUUCUGUCCUAUGGGAAGAUAAUGACAGUACCAUAGAAGAAAGCUCCGGCUAAAUACGUGCCAGCAGCCGCGGUAAUACGUAUGGAGCGAGCGUUGUCCGGAAUUAUUGUGCGUAAAGGGUACGCAGGCGGUUUAAUAAGUCGAAUGUUAAAGAUCGGGGCUCAACCCCGCAAAGCAGUGGAAACUGAUAAACUUGAGUAGUGGAGAGGAAAGUGGAAUUCCUAGUGUAGUGGUGAAAUACGUAGAUAUUAGGAGGAAUACCAGUAGCGAAGGCGACUUUCUGGACACAAACUGACGCUGAGGUACGAAAGCGUGGGGAGCAAACAGG